Molecule: long non-coding RNA, 536 nt
Organism: Acromyrmex echinatior (Panamanian leafcutter ant)
Lineage: Eukaryota; Metazoa; Arthropoda; Insecta; Hymenoptera; Formicidae
Source: RefSeq, a predicted model, not a curated record
UUACGCUUUUGCGACUCAAGCAGGGGACGGGGAUAUGUCCUGUCAUUUUAACGUUGGAAAAGUUCGCAACCCUGUCUUCGAAUCGAUUGUCAUUUUUUCUCCAUACUCUAAUCUCUGCUGAUUAAAAAAAAGAAUCUUUUAGAACAUAAAAAGCGACGAAAAACUUCUCAAAGGAUCGUUGGAUUUCUUUACUAAGAAUGCGACGAAUACGAAAUGAUCGGCUCCAAAUAAGUGACGUCGCGACUUAUUGAAUUGGUACUGUCUAUACGUCACAAAGUAAGUAACGGGAAGAGAAGAGAAACGAGAAGUAGGCUUGACAAUUUUGUGAGGGGAAGGAGGAAAAGAAGGAGGAGACUUAGGAAAAGCAAUAGGUUUCGACGGGGCAACUUUGCGAACUAUGUAGCCACAUGAAUUAUGUAACUGAUAACUCCACUGAUGCGCAUCAGUCGGUGAGUGACAGAGAUUUUAUCAGGUAACGAAUCUGUGAAAAAUGUAACAGAUUUAUUAUAUUAGAAAUAAAUAUAAUGUUUUAAAAA